GGGGCCCCGUGAUGUCCAGCAUAUAAAAUUGCAAAUUUUAAAGAGCAAAGUAGCUUCUUGCCGGGGCUU
Molecule: transfer RNA, 69 nt
Filed under: Paramesotriton longliensis
Lineage: Eukaryota; Metazoa; Chordata; Amphibia; Caudata; Salamandridae
Description: tRNA-Cys
Source: RNAcentral